RNAcentral lists this ribosomal RNA (462 nucleotides) under uncultured Rhodoferax sp. RNAcentral's name for it is "bacterial SSU rRNA". It matches the Rfam family "Bacterial small subunit ribosomal RNA", at positions 920 to 1382 of the family's 1533-position model. Lineage: Bacteria; Pseudomonadati; Pseudomonadota; Betaproteobacteria; Burkholderiales; Comamonadaceae. The record is from RNAcentral.
CCCGCACAAGCGGUGGAGCAUGUGGUUUAAUUCGAUGCAACGCGAAAAACCUUACUCACCUUUGACAUGUACGGAACCCUUUAGAGAUAGAGGGGUGCUCGAAAGAGAGCCGUAACACAGGUGCUGCAUGGCUGUCGUCAGCUCGUGUCGUGAGAUGUUGGGUUAAGUCCCGCAACGAGCGCAACCCUUGUCAUUAGUUGCUACAUUCAGUUGGGCACUCUAAUGAGACUGCCGGUGACAAGCCGGAGGAAGGUGGGGAUGACGUCAAGUCCUCAUGGCCCUUAUAGGUGGGGCUACACACGUCAUACAAUGGCUGGUACAAAGGGUUGCCAACCCGCGAGGGGGAGCCAAUCCCAUAAAGCCAGUCGUAGUCCGGAUCGUAGUCUGCAACUCGACUACGUGAAGUCGGAAUCGCUAGUAAUCGUGGAUCAGAAUGUCACGGUGAAUACGUUCCCGGGUCUU